CGACCAACUGCCACCAUGGAUGUUGCCGCAACAACUCCUCUGAUGUCCUGUGGUUGCUGUGAUUUUGCCGCUUAGAUGCCUGAUAGACGAAACAGAUCUCCUUUAUUCCCUGGAUCAUCUAUUCCGUUGCUGCUGCAGUUUAUGGGAAGAUGAUGUGAGUAUUGCUAGGCAUCAUGAGAACAGCUUAAGAGGAGGACGGCUAUAGGGGCUAAUGAUUUGUCCGUGAGAAAAGAGACAGUCACCAGAACAAGAGUAUUGUCAGAAACAGCUAAGGGGCCUAUAGAAAUCAGGAGAACUGGCUUCGGAUCACCUCCCAGUAGCACCAUGAUCUUUAUGAAGAUAAACGUUUGUAUAUAUAGAAAAGUUAAAAAAUUAUUGAAAAUUCUCCCUUUUUGGCAGUUGCAACAUGAUUGGUGACAGUGUAUUAAAAUAGUAAGAACUUGUACAUAGAAAAAAAGCGUUUGUAAAUAUUAAAAAAUUGAGCAAAUGAUUUAAAAUUCUCCUUUUUUUUUGGAGUUGCAACAGGUUUUAUAGCUGGUAAGUGAAGAAGACGCCUUGGCUUUUCCCAAGCAUUCCAGAAAUAUUCCAUUUUGGGAGUUGCAACAGGAUUUGUGUCCCAAAAUGGUGAAGAAGUAGCUUUUGUAUGAAAAACAUGUGAUCUUGCUGCUAGCUGCCAGGAAUGCUGGGUUACCCUGAUAUCAUCUUAGUGUUUCUAGUAUUUUCUUCCUUUAUUCAGGUGCAAAAAACAUAAUUCCUUCUGCUACCAUUACUGCUGUUGCCAGAUAGCAAAGAAGUAGUGUAUCUGGUAUUACCGUAUAUAACUGAGCAAGCGAAAAGACAGCGACUAAUGCUGG
Hyla sarda is the source of this 854-nucleotide long non-coding RNA. RefSeq lists it as uncharacterized. NCBI's taxonomy places the organism in Eukaryota, Metazoa, Chordata, Amphibia, Anura, Hylidae. The transcript is spliced from 3 exons. The record is from RefSeq and is a predicted model, not a curated record.